GGCGGAAUAGCUCAGUUGGGAGUCCGUCAGACUGAAGAUCUGAAGGUCCCUGGUUCGAUCCCGGGUUCCGGCA
RNAcentral lists this transfer RNA (73 nucleotides) under Patiria miniata (bat star). RNAcentral's name for it is "tRNA-Phe". It matches the Rfam family "tRNA". Rfam says of the family: Transfer RNA (tRNA) molecules are approximately 80 nucleotides in length. Their secondary structure includes four short double-helical elements and three loops (D, anti-codon, and T loops). Lineage: Eukaryota; Metazoa; Echinodermata; Asteroidea; Valvatida; Asterinidae. The record is from Rfam by way of RNAcentral.